This 800-nucleotide ribosomal RNA is filed under the name uncultured bacterium. RNAcentral's name for it is "bacterial SSU rRNA". It matches the Rfam family "Bacterial small subunit ribosomal RNA", at positions 8 to 809 of the family's 1533-position model. The record is from RNAcentral.
AGAGUUUGAUCCUGGCUCAGGAUGAACGCUGGCGGCGUGCUUAACACAUGCAAGUCGAACGGGAAUUAUUUUAUUGAAACUUCGGUCGAUUUAAUUUAAUUCUAGUGGCGGACGGGUGAGUAACGCGUGGGUAACCUGCCUUAUACAGGGGGAUAACAGUCAGAAAUGACUGCUAAUACCGCAUAAGCGCACAGAGCUGCAUGGCUCGGUGUGAAAAACUCCGGUGGUAUAAGAUGGACCCGCGUUGGAUUAGCUAGUUGGUGAGGUAACGGCCCACCAAGGCGACGAUCCAUAGCCGACCUGAGAGGGUGACCGGCCACAUUGGGACUGAGACACGGCCCAAACUCCUACGGGAGGCAGCAGUGGGGAAUAUUGCACAAUGGGCGAAAGCCUGAUGCAGCGACGCCGCGUGAGCGAAGAAGUAUUUCGGUAUGUAAAGCUCUAUCAGCAGGGAAGAUAAUGACGGUACCUGACUAAGAAGCACCGGCUAAAUACGUGCCAGCAGCCGCGGUAAUACGUAUGGUGCAAGCGUUAUCCGGAUUUACUGGGUGUAAAGGGAGCGCAGGCGGUGCGGCAAGUCUGAUGUGAAAGCCCGGGGCUCAACCCCGGUACUGCAUUGGAAACUGUCGUACUAGAGUGUCGGAGGGGUAAGCGGAAUUCCUAGUGUAGCGGUGAAAUGCGUAGAUAUUAGGAGGAACACCAGUGGCGAAGGCGGCUUACUGGACGAUAACUGACGCUGAGGCUCGAAAGCGUGGGGAGCAAACAGGAUUAGAUACCCUGGUAGUCCACGCCGUAAACGA